RNAcentral lists this ribosomal RNA (461 nucleotides) under uncultured bacterium. Its description in RNAcentral is "partial 16S ribosomal RNA". It matches the Rfam family "Bacterial small subunit ribosomal RNA", at positions 29 to 523 of the family's 1533-position model. The record is from RNAcentral.
AACGAACGCUGGCGGCAUGCUUAACACAUGCAAGUCGAACGGUCUUAUGGGGCUUGCUCCAUAAGAUAGUGGCAGACGGGUGAGUAACACGUGGGAACGUACCCUAAGGUUCGGAAUAACAGUUGGAAACGACUGAUAAUACCGGAUAUCUCCGAGAGGAGAAAGGUUUACCGCCUUGGGAGCGGCCCGCGUCUGAUUAGGUAGUUGGUGAGGUAAAGGCUCACCAAGCCGAUGAUCAGUAGCUGGUUUGAGAGAGUGAUCAGCCACACUGGGACUGGGACACGGCCCAGACUCCUACGGGAGGCAGCAGUGGGGAAUAUUGGACAAUGGGGGAAACCCUGAUCCAGCAAUGCCGCGUGAGUGAAGAAGGCCUUCGGGUUGUAAAGCUCUUUUGUCCGUGACGAUAAUGACGGUAGCGGACGAAUAAGCACCGGCUAACUUCGUGCCAGCCGCCGCAGUAA